GGGAAGGGAGGGAGGCCGGUGGAGGGUGGCGGAGGCCCGGUGGAGGCCUUUCGCGAUUUAUGCGACCGUUUUUCUAUUUCGUUCGAAAUAAGGGUCGGCCGCUUUUUAAUUUGGCGAUUCGUAAGUGACGUUUCAAUACAAUCUUAACAUUUUAUUUCCAUUUUUUCCAACUAAUCUGCAAAUAAUACUUCAAAGUAUAGGGAUAAGCAUAAAUUCU
This 217-nucleotide long non-coding RNA is filed under the name Phoenix dactylifera (date palm). RNAcentral's name for it is "long non-coding RNA (PDAC_LNC014259)". Lineage: Eukaryota; Viridiplantae; Streptophyta; Magnoliopsida; Arecales; Arecaceae. The record is from RNAcentral.